Molecule: unclassified non-coding RNA, 333 nt
Filed under: uncultured Chlorophyta
Lineage: Eukaryota; Viridiplantae; Chlorophyta
Description: sequence contains 5.8S rRNA gene, ITS2, 28S rRNA gene
Source: RNAcentral
AACGCAUAUUGCGCCCGAGACCUCGGUCAAGGGCAUGUCUGCCUCAGCGUCGGGUUUCCCUCACAAUAUACUUAUAUUGUGGACUUGACGGCCCGCCUUGCUAUUUUAUAUCAUGGUGGCCCGUUGAAAAGCAGUCGCUUGUGCUCCAUGCGAAAACGCAAAGCCAAAUGGUGCGCAGCUGGGCAAGCAAUAUCUUGUUGUUUUUGCUCGUGAGUCUGCCCGCUUAUUCUGGUUGUUUCUGCCAAGGAGAAAAACAUAAGCAAAUAUCAGGACGAAACCCUAUCAUACUUUAUUCUCGACCUGAGCUCAGGCAAGAUUACCCGCUGAACUUAA